This 404-nucleotide long non-coding RNA is filed under the name Citrus sinensis (sweet orange). RNAcentral describes it as "long non-coding RNA (CSIN_LNC005264)". The record is from RNAcentral. Lineage: Eukaryota; Viridiplantae; Streptophyta; Magnoliopsida; Sapindales; Rutaceae.
AGCGAAGAGCGUGUGGUAGCUGACUCGUCCCCUGAGUUCCCUAUCGAUUCAAUCCAGGUUCAGUUAUCCAACGUGGAUUCCAAAUUUGCAGCUGCUGUUUCAGAAAAUGGAGAGAUAAGCAUUGAAGGGAAAGUGAAAUUUGGGAUACCUCACCUGACACGCGUGGGAUCAUUUGGUGUUGAUGCGAGCCUGGAAGGGAACCUCAUCCUGUGCCGGCAGGUUGAUCAGCCUGGCAUGAUUGGCAAGGUUGGGAACAUACUUGGUGAGCAUAAUGUCAAUGUGAACUUCAUGAGUGUAGGAAGAACUUUCAGGAGGAAUCAUGGGAUCAUGGCAAUCGGCGUUGAUGAAGAACCAAAUCAGGAUUCCCUCAAGGAAAUAGGAAAGGUGCCUGCAAUUGAAGAGUU